This is a long non-coding RNA of Felis catus (domestic cat), 2324 nucleotides long. RefSeq lists it as uncharacterized. NCBI's taxonomy places the organism in Eukaryota, Metazoa, Chordata, Mammalia, Carnivora, Felidae. The transcript is spliced from 7 exons. The record is from RefSeq and is a predicted model, not a curated record.
GUGGGUGAUAUGUACAGCUCUCGCUAACAAACUUAAGCAUCGCUUUAAUCCUGUGUAAUUUAUUGUCAUGGAAGCUAAUAGACUGGUGGGGAGGGGGGUUCUACCCUGUAUUUGUGAAGCAGAACACUGUGUUGUGAUUUUUAGAUCAGACACAGGGAGGCAGCAGUGAGCCAAUGAGGAGCAGGAACAAUGGGAACAGCUUUGAGCCAGAAAGUUUGACUCUAGAUCAGGAGAAGCCAGCUAGCUGUUUAAAAUCAUUUAAACCAAACAGAAACACAUUAUUUUAAAAACUUUAAAAUCAAACAUUAGCAGAAUUUACCGUUCUAGCAUAUGUUUUCUGCUCCCUGUUAGCGCUUAAUUUCAUUCACUUCCCAAAUGUUUUGCUUUGCUUACUCACAAUUUUCUUUUCUUUUUUUAUUUUUUAUUUUUUAUUUUUCAGUAAUCCCUGCACCUAACGUGGGGCUCGAACUUACAACCCCGAGAUCAAAAGUUGCAUUCUGUACCGAGACAGCCAGCCACCCCGACAAUAUUAUUUUUUAAUCCAUUUUGGAGUGUGAGCAUUUUAAAGCUGACAAGCAUCUUCCUGGCUGGUCCAAGUUGAAGCCCCAGGAGUGGAUCAAGAUACUCCUACCCCAGGAGGGCACAGAAGGCAAGCCUGGAGCGGUGCAGAAGGUAAGAAGGACCGCCUUAGUGGAGAACCCACGGUGGACUGGAGCUGACAACAUCGUUAGAGCAAAUUGGUUUCCAAGGGCUCCUUUUUAAACGAGGGAACGCAGCCGCACUACCUCUGCCUCCCCAAAGAGGAUUCAUCUCAUCCUGCCUGUCUGAAACCUGGAUGCUGCAGGCUGGGGAUUUCGUAAACAAAGAAGCGUCAUGCUAUCAAGGGAUUCACUGCAGACAGGACCAUGCAGAAAAACACCUCUACACACUUGCUGAACACCCACCCGCCCUGUGCCUGGCUCUCUGCAGUUCCUGGGUUACAAACGGAGGGAGCCACCUCCCACACCUAGAGGGCCGCACAUUCUCCUGUGGGAUGCAGCUAAGUGAUGGCUGGGUAGGGGCCAUGGAGCCCAGAACCCUGCCUGCCCCCCCCACCCAAGCCCCCUGCCCAUGUUCCAGAAAGUUCUCAGGAGGAGGAGGUGCCUGAGCUGAGUCCUAAAGGACCAGUUGGCCAAGCAGAAAACAUGAGACAGGUCAUUCCCCACAAGGGAAACGUGAAAUAAUACCAGGGUCCCUCUCUUUCUCUGCUUCUCUAUAUGCUAUGGCCCCAUUCUGAACACUUCACAUGUGUCAUAUCACUUCGUUCUCAGAACUCUGUGAGGCAAGCACUCUUACGGCUCCAUAUUAAAGCUGAGGUCCCUGAGGCCCAAAGGAUGGAGUGGUUCUUCAAGGUCACGUCCUUCGUGAGCGGUGCAGCCAGCAUUUGAACUGAGCAGAAAGUUGGAAAUGUGGCUACAAAGUUCAGGAGCAACCAUGGGAAUAGAAAUCUCACUGCAGAGUCAAGAGCAGAGACUUGUUACCGAAUGAACAGGCAUAUCCAGGAAUAGCAUGGAGAUGGGGACACAAGUGGUCUGAGCCGGAGCCUGGGGGACACUGGACAGAAGACAUGAAGUAUAACAGAACGUACAGCUCAGUCUGGAUGAGACUCUCUGAGAGCAAAGCUGUUUAUUUGGCUCACCGCUGUAUCCCUGUACCUGGAGCAGAGCUCAGCAUGCAAUAGCUAUGUAGGCCACGAUUUGCUCAGCAUAUCUCUUCCUAAAUUCCAAGACAGGCUUCUUGCUCUGUUCAGUCAAGACUGCCAACCCAGGAAACAUUUUCGAAAGAUCACAGUCAACGUCACUGCCAAAAGAAGAAGUUCUUGGCACGCAAAGAACCGGGUUCAAUAUGAGAUGCCAGAUGGUGAUUUCAACUUCAGCUGAAUUCCUGCUGGAAAAAACUGUUUGAACUGCAGAUGAGAAAAGAUGCUAUGACAAAUUUCCAAGUGUUAGGAACUUCAGAGGGAAAUGGCGAGUGUUGAUACACCCCCCACCCCCCGUCCCUCCAACCACACGCACACAUACCAUAGAACUACUUACUACCUGCAUCUGGUAGUUAAGAUUCCCACAAAGAUGCCUCUGCUUUUUAAGAAGAUUAAGCCAUGUCUUGAUUUUUACUAAUAUUAAAGUAUAUUAACUGAGUCCAUUGAAAGCAAAUACUAUAUGAUUCCAUGUGGUGUUUUUCAAAGGAUGUGUCCCCUUAGCAUCUGCGGUGAGCUUUUUUGGUAUCUGGAGGUGGUUCUCAUUCCUCUCUACUAAUAACUCCAUUAUUAAACCAAUUAAUAAUCA